RNAcentral lists this long non-coding RNA (791 nucleotides) under Ananas comosus (pineapple). RNAcentral's name for it is "long non-coding RNA (ACOM_LNC000628)". Lineage: Eukaryota; Viridiplantae; Streptophyta; Magnoliopsida; Poales; Bromeliaceae. The record is from RNAcentral.
UGUAUUUACUUUCUCAUUUGGCUGUCCGUCUGUCACUGUCAUUUUUUAGUCGACCAUAGAGAGAGAACAACAGAAAAGAGGGGUAAGAAAGUUUUUAUGAAUAUAUUAAUUGAUAGUUAUGUGUGCGAGGAUAGAGUGGGGGAGAGAGAGAGAGAGAAGGAGAAAAACUCAAAAUCGCGACGUGGUAAGAAAGGGACAAAGGGGGAAAGAGAAAGUAGGCAAAUUCACAUAGCAGCAGGUUAUGGUUCGAAAUUAUCCAGUGCACCAAAUAUAUAAAUACAAUUUAUACGUCACAUUUUUAAAAUUCUAUUAUAAAAAUUUAAAGUCUCUAACUUUUAAUAUAGUAUAUUUGCAGUUAUCAAAUUAGAUUUAAAUUUUAUAAUAUUAGUUUUUAAAAAAUAAGUUUAUUGCAUAUGAAUAUGCGAUGAUCCAAUAGAACAGUGCUGCAAUAAUUUAUUAUAGCUGAGAAGAAAAAGAUAGAGUGGUGAAAUAGAAAUAUUCCGCACAUUAGAUGUAAAAACAAAAUUUUAUAUAGUAUAUUCUUAAAUUUCAUUAUAAAAAUUUAAAUUUUAUAAAUUUUUACAGAUAGUCAUUUUAUAUGGCUUAAAUCACAUGCAUCGAAUUAAAUUUUAAUUUUAUAAUAUUAAUUACUUAAAUAUAUAUUGUACAAUGAGAGAGAUUGAUGAAAACUCUAUGUGUGAGAGAGAGGAGAAUUAUGUUGAAAAAAAAUUAAUAUAAAACUAAUAUUAGUUUUUUAAAUAAUUUUUUAUUAUUUGAAGAGAAAUGAUAUU